Molecule: long non-coding RNA, 5716 nt
Organism: Orcinus orca (killer whale)
Lineage: Eukaryota; Metazoa; Chordata; Mammalia; Artiodactyla; Delphinidae
Exons: 4
Source: RefSeq, a predicted model, not a curated record
GUUAUUUUUUCUUCUCAACUUUGCGAGGUGGUAUUACCAUUCCUGUGUAAUAGAUAAGUAAAUGAAGGCUCAGAGAGGUUAGGUAGUUUGCACAAAGUCACCCAGCUGAAGCUUGGAUGAACUGGACAGAAGCUAGGUCAGUCUAACCCCAAAGAUGAUAAUUUUAAGCAUUGCCUUGUAUAUACUGCACAAAGUACCACUGCUACUUAGAGUGAACAUUAUUUUUUCUAUCAAGCCUGUUCUUGUUUCCUUGGGACCAGAGAAGUUACCAAUAAUUGAGAGACCAGUAAUUUUAAUGUAGGAUCUUUAUGUUUGAGUGUUACUGAAUGGCUGAGUGACUGCUGGCAAGUCAGAUAAGGUCUCCAUUCAGGAGUUUACCCAGCUGUAAGCCAAUGAAGACAAGGCUAAUCUCUAGAGACACUGAGGGAAGAAAUUCUGGAAACCACUUUGGAAAAAAGAUGCUCAAUAAAGAAUGCUAUUAAACACACCAAGCAGAGUUAAGUGAUUUGGAAAGAAAUGAAAACGCUUUACAGUUCAAGAGGAAUAGAUAGACAUAAAUAGUGCUAUUGAAACAUGUGUCAGGAGGGGAAGUAACUAAAGAAACGGGGACUUGGGGAACCCUGGGAUGGAACUCUGUGCUUAGGGUGUCCUUGACUGGCAUUUAUGGGACCAUACAUGCAAAGCAGGUGGUUAUAGACCUGAAACUGGGUGGAAGGGGAAGGAGGAGAUGAAUUUCAAGACUGUUGUGCAUCCCCAUCUCUACAAAAGCAAGAGCAAGGGACAGAGUGGGGUCAGAGGCUGAUGACGAAGGGCACCACGAGAAUACAUCCAUCAGGGAUGCUUGAGUACCAGGAAUGUGCUCUGAUGGAAUCGAACCUUCCUCACAUCCGUCUGUGGCAGGGGCUGAACCUCACCCUCUGAGGGGUGCGAGGCAGCUAUGAGAUGAGCUGCUGAAAAUAUAAGGGUUGCCCAAUGUGUAAUCAUGUAGGCAAGAGCAAACUGUAGGGACUUAGAAAAAAAGAUAAUCUUAAGAAUCUGAAAAAGAAUAGAUACAUGUGUGUGUGUAUAUAUAUAUAUAUAUAUAUAUAUAUAUAUAACUGAAUCACUUUGAUGUACACUUGAAACUAACACAACACUGUUAAUCAACUAUACUCCAUAUAGUUAAAAAAAGUUUAUUUGGAAAAAUAAAAUAAACAAACCAACAAAAAAGAAGAUAAUCUUCACAGAGACAGGUCCACAGGGGACAAAGGACAGAGGGGCCCACAGUAGCCUUGGCUCACAGAGGCAUUUCUUCUCAGCCCCGUUAUCCAGCCAUCAGGGGAGGAAAUGAAUGGGCUUCUUACAGUCCUGGGGUCAUCCUGUCACUGGGGCUGCAUUAGGAAAAUUCCCCAGUUAGAGGACUCUGGUGUCUCCCAGGCUGAGAAAUGAAAGAUUCUUUUCAAAAGCAGAUUAUCAAAAUUAGGUACAUUUACCAAUGUUCAAAACCAUAGGCAGUAAAGGUCACUGAUUCAGUGUUAGACAGAGACCUGGACUCAACCCAGGGUGGGGGGAUGACUCACUCCUGGACUAAGUGUUUACUUUUCCUUGGGUGAGGCAAGCACUGGGCUGGACCUGAGAGUCCCCAGGAGGAAGGAAGAUUCUCUGACUUCGCUUGGCUCACAGCCUGAAGGGACGAACAGAGACUAAACCAACCACCUCAUAAGAAACCAAGAUCAAUAAUUCUGAACUGUAUCAGAAUGCCACAGGAAAGUAAAUGAUUCCACAACUUCAACCACAGCGCUAGAAGCACCCAGCUUCUGCUGAGCACCGUGCUGAGGGCUUGGGGAGAGAUAAUUGCUGAUCCCAGUGAUGGGUCUGCAUGAAUCCUGUACCAUCACCUUCACUAAAGUUUCUCUCCCUUGAAGCCCUCUGUAGAACAAGACACAUCUCAAAGCUUCUCUCUGAUUCUUCUGCUUCUCAAAGAAAUGACCUGGAAGUUUUCUGUGACGAGAUUGUACUGAAUAGUGUUUCCCCCAAAUUCAUGACUACCUGGAACCUCCAAGUGUGACCUUAUUUGGAAAUGGGGUCUUUGCAGAUAUAAUUAGUUAAGAAGAGGUGACACUGGAGUAGGGUGGCCCUUAGAUUCAAUGACUGGUGUCCUUAUAAGAAGAGAAGAGACACCUGCAGUGACAGAGUGAAGAAGGCCAUGUGAAGAUGAGGCAGAGGUUGGAGUGAUGCUGCUAUAAGUUGAGGGGUAUCUAAAGCCACCAGAAGCUGCAAGAGGAAAGGAAGGAUUCUUUUUUAGAGCUUUCACAGGAAGCGUGGCCCUCCUAACAUCUUGAUUUUGGACUUCCAGCAUCCAGAACUAUGAAAGAAUAAGUUUCUGUCAUUUAAGGCCCUCCAUUUUUGGUUAUCUGCUAUGGAAGCCCCUGGAAACAAACACCAGGAAGUUUUAGUGGGGCUUUUCAGUUGCCCACCCAGCCUAUUACCAGCCACUACCCAGUGUUUCUAAUAAAGCUGGGAGGGGAGAAGGAGGACAUUGGAGUAAGAGACGUCCCUCUCAACAUGAAGACAAGUGAGACAACCCAGGGAAAUACUAAAAGAUUGGAGGUGCCCGAAAGAAAAGGAGACUUGCCUUCCCCCACUGGCCAUUGGCUUAAGAAGUGGACUUGCCGAUUUGCCUCUCUGAGAGACAUGGGAGGGGAGGCAGCCUGGACAGAGGGUGGGCGUGAAGCAGGCUGAGUUUCUUGUGGGUCAGUGGACAUCCCAGAAAGGAAGCUGAGCUUGAACCAUCUUGCUGGUACCCAGCUAAGAAGAGUGUCCGUCAGGCACAGGAAUCCUAGCAGUAAGAGGCUUUGGGAUUUUCCCCUGAUGUAGGGAACAGUGGGGCAGGGUUGAAAGAGGUCAACCAAGCACCAGGUUCUGAAUGUCAGGGAAUUGUGCAGUAGGUGGGGGCAGAGAAGGGAGCUGACAGAGCCCUCAGAGCUCAUGCAUGCACCCCACAAGACAGCCAGCAUUUGGACGCUGCCAUUCAGAGGAAUCAUAAGCCAGGUGGCCAGCAGAGCUUCAAGAACCACCCAAGAGAGCAUGCCAGUAGCGACCACUUAAGUGAAUAGGCCUGUGUCCCUUUCUGGUGCCUCCCUGCUGCCCCAUCAACUGAGACAGCUCAGGCAGCAGGGUGUGGGCGUUGUAGAAGCAGAUCUCAUCCACCCUUCAGCAUUUAAGGUCCCAGCUCAAGUCUGCAUAGAGGGAAGGAGGGCAUGGGAUUUACAUCAAGAUUGAGAUUGAAGCUUUGGAAUGCACCAGUGACUAGGAAGGUAUGGAUUCUGCCCAAGAUACUGUUAAGGGGUGUUCAAAGGAUGAUUCGACAGAGCAACGUGAGAAGGGCCAUGUGUAGAAGAAACAAAACCAUUUUGUGUUUGUAACCCCAUGUUCGGAGACUCCUUAAUAAACCGUUACAGUCUCAAGAGUUUUUGCUGUAUUUAUGUAUUUACUCAUGUGAUAGGGACACGAACAGCAGUGAAUGGACUCGUCUGGUCUUCAUCUUCUCAUUUUCAACUGCAAGCCUGUUGGGAAAGGGACAGGAUCAUUGGUGUUUUCCCUCAAGACUCUUAGUGCUUUGAGACCAAGAACUUGGGCUUGUUUCUCUGUCUACCUUGCAGUUGUCAGAUGAGCCCAGUGAGUGCCAGCUGAGGAAUUCAGGAAUGGAUCAAAGAAUAAAUUGAGAAUAAAGACUGAGAAUAAGGACGGAAGACAUCUCACCUACAUUUCAAAAGGACCCUCCAACCCCCCUUUCUAGACAUUUUACCUCAGGAGUCAGCAUCACGGUUCUGGUGUGGAGGACGGCAAGACAGCAGAGUGACUAUACUAUUCUGUGGAAGACAUGGGGCUUGGGGGGCUGAGGUUCCCUCAUCCCAAGUGAAUGCCAGUUAGAGAUGAGAAGUAAGGGUCAGAGCUUGGGGGAGGAGCUCUGGGAGGGGAAAGGGGUGGAGAAUUCUAAGCAGUGACUGCCGACGGGGAAAGGGAGAGAGAUUCUGUGUUUGUGUUGUCUACAUGGAACACACCAGGGCAACCGUUUUUUAGGUCGAAUACAGCUAUGAUAUAGAGAUGUAUAUAUUAAGGAAAGGUGUUUAGCUUGUUUAUAUACGUCCCUUAAAAUGUUUAAUAUGGAAGCAACCUAAAUGUCCGUUGACAGAUGAAUGGAUAAAGAAGAUAUGGUAUAUAUAUAUAUAUAUACACACACACACAUAUACAAUGGAAUACUACUCAUCCAUAAAAAGAAUGAAAUAAUGCCAUUUGCAGAAACAUGGAUAGACCGAGAGAUUAUCAUACUAAGUGAAGUAUGUCAGACAGAGAAAAGACAAAUAUCACAUGAUAUCACUUACAUUUGGACUCUAAAAAAAUGAUAUAAAUGAACUUAUUUAUAAAACAGAAAUAGACUCACAGAUGUAGAAAACAAACUUAUGGUUACCAAAGGGGAAAGGGGGGGAGGAGGGAUAAAUUAGGAGCUUGGGAUUAACAGAUACACACUACCAUAUAUAAAAUAGAUAAACAACAAGGACCUACUGUAUAGUACAGGGAACUAUAUUCAAUAUUUUGUAAUAACCUAUAAUGGAAAAGAAUCUGAAAAAGAAUAUAUAUACAGUUGUAUAACCGAAUCACUUUGCUGUACACCUGAAACUAAUACAACAUUGUAAAUCAAUUAUACUUCAAUAAAAAAAAAUGUUGCCAUUCAAAUUGCUUCAAAGGAAAAAAACUGUUUAACAACUGCGUUCUGGAGAGGAGUAUAUAUUUGUGGAUGCGUAAGAGCAAUGCGGCUAUGAAUUAGGAACUGGGAAAUAAGUAUCCUAUUGCAUGCAUAUCUUCAUGUCUUUGCAUCUUCAGGUGAACUUUGGUUUUAGACAGCACAAUGCCGAUCCCAAGACUUGAGUCAUCCUGAGAGAUUUUAUUUCAGUGGUGCAGUGUUCUAUUUUAUGAGAGAAUUUUAGAAGAGAGAACUUCCAUCGUAGCCAUGUACUGAGAGGAUGGAUCCACGCCAGUGGAAGGCGGAGGCCAAGCCUCCUUCCUUUCUUGCGAGCUAACCUUGGCUUCCCAGACAAGCCACAGCGAGGACUUUUUAUCUGAGGCAAGUUCAGUCCCGGACAAAGGCAAACUCAUUCCUGUGAGUUAGGGACCCUGAGAAAGCUCCUUACUAGGAAACCUCUACCCUAUUGCCACAAUGUCUGAAAUUUCACUGUAACAGCCUCCUGGGUGGCCAUCUACAGACCGCCUCCCCCCUUUUAAAAUUGUGGUGAAAUUCACAUAACACAAAAUUAACCUUUUUUUUUUUUUUUUUUUUUUGCGGUACGCGGGCCUCUCACUGUUGUGGCCUCUCCCGUUGCGGAGCACAGGCUCCGGACGCGCAGGCUCAGCGGCCAUGGCUCACGGGCCCAGCCGCUCCGCGGCACGAACCCGCGUCCCCUGCAUCGGCAGGCGGACUCUCAACCACUGCGCCACCAGGGAAGCCCCAAAUUAACCAUUUUAAAGUGAAGAAUUCAGUGGCAUUAAGUAGACCCACAGCACUGUAUAACCACCACCUCUCUCUAGUUCCAAAACAACUUCAUCACCCCAAAAGGAAAUCCUGUACCCACUAAGCAGUCAUUCCUCAUUCUCCCUCCAGCCCCUGGCAACCACAAGUCUGCUUUCUGUGUCUACGGAUUAGCCUGUUCUGGGCAUCUCAUAUGAAUGGAAUCGCACA